CCCGGCGGUGACUUGCCAGACAACCUUUUUACUUUUUUUCAAAGGUUUUGACCUCGGAUCAGGGUAGGGAUACCCGCUGAACUUAAGCAUAUCAAUAAGCGGAGGAAAAGAAACCAACAGGGAUUGCCUCAGUAACGGCGAGUGAAGCGGCAACAGCUCAAAUUUGAAAUCUGGCUCCUUCGGAGUCCGAGUUGUAAUUUGUAGAAGAUGCUUCGAGUGUGGCCCCGGUCUAAGUUCCUUGGAACAGGACGUCACAGAGGGUGAGAAUCCCGUACGUGAUCGGGCGCCUACGCUCAUGUGAAGCUCUUUCGACGAGUCGAGUUGUUUGGGAAUGCAGCUCUAAAUGGGUGGUAAAUUUCAUCUAAAGCUAAAUAUUGGCCAGAGACCGAUAGCGCACAAGUAGAGUGAUCGAAAGAUGAAAAGCACUUUGGAAAGAGAGUUAAACAGUACGUGAAAUUGUUGAAAGGGAAGCGCUUGCAACCAGACUUGCGUGUCGUUGAUCAUCUGGUGUUCUCACCGGUGCGCUCAGCGAUGCUCAGGCCAGCAUCAGUUCUGGCGGCUGGAUAAAGGCCCUGGGAAUGUGGCUCCCUCCGGGGAGUGUUAUAGCCCAGGGUGCAAUGCAGCCUGCCGGGACUGAGGACC
Molecule: ribosomal RNA, 642 nt
Filed under: Scytalidium cuboideum
Lineage: Eukaryota; Fungi; Ascomycota; Leotiomycetes
Description: eukaryotic LSU rRNA
Rfam family: Eukaryotic large subunit ribosomal RNA
Source: RNAcentral